Myxocyprinus asiaticus (Chinese sucker) is the source of this 2683-nucleotide long non-coding RNA. RefSeq lists it as uncharacterized. Lineage: Eukaryota; Metazoa; Chordata; Actinopteri; Cypriniformes; Catostomidae. The transcript is spliced from 3 exons. The record is from RefSeq and is a predicted model, not a curated record.
UGAGCGCAUGUCACAGAGAUGUACGGAAGCGAACAUUUGUAGUUAAAAAGUAUAUAAGUAUUGUUUUUUUUUGUUUUUUUUUUUUUUUUUUCUAAAGAUAAUCAAUCGUUUGCAUUCAGAAGAACUUUAUUUGUCGACUGGAGUUGUGUGGAUUCUUUUGAUGCACCCUAAAUAUGCAUUUUGGACCUUCAAAAAUGCAUUUUUUAGAGGAGGAGGCCUGAAAUGAAAUCCUAAAAGUCUUACAUUCUGUUUUGAUGAAGAAAGAAACUCAGAUACAUCUUGGAUGGCCUGAGCCACAGUUAACACACACAAAUUGAGCGCCCUGCGGAGCAGCAUCCACGUCUCUCUGACCUGCCUUCAUUGGUGACAGCCAGAUUGCAAUGCAACAGCUUCCAGUCGCCAACCUCCUGGAUAACACAGUGCUGAAGAAGACCAUCUUGCAACGGGUCGGCCGUAGCCCGGAAGAACAUCGCCAGCAUUUACACUCCUUAAUGCUGAGUGAAUUCGGCUACCCAUUUGUCUUCGCUCAGCAGCUCCACAAUGCCUGCCGCCAGUGGGUGCUGGCCAAGGAGGACAACGACACCGAUGAUGUUGUCAACUAGGUGGUGCUGUUGACUGGAUGAAGCGGUCCAGCUGGCGGAGGACCAUCUUGCAGCAUAUCCAAGCUCAGUUGCGCCGCUGCCUUUCAUUCCACUAAUGUCACCUCCCCUGUUCUCUCUCCCCCACUCCUUCCUUCCGUCAUAUUCCAUUUCCCUGGAAACUGGGAAACAUUCCCCCAAGAUCACCCUCUCAGGCUUAGGGGUCUACUGCUCCACCUAACCCUAUCUCUCUCCACUCUUCAUCCCAGGUGCGUGGGCAGGAGGCUUGGGCCAGUCUGCUGGAGUUGCAGAGAGCCGGGUCAUGGCCGUGAGCAGUGCCCGGUAAUGGAGGUGGGGGCCUUGAUCUGGGUCCAAUCGAGCAGGGACGUACCAAAUACCCUUGAGUAUUGAGGGGGAUACAUACCAAGCCUUGGUGGAUUCCUGUUGUUAUCAAACCUCCAUCCAUCAGUGCUUGGUUCAAAACAGGGCAUUGGAUUCAAAUAAUUGGGUAAAGGUGGGGAUAUUCAUAAUUAUCCUGUAGUGACCGUCGGCGUAAUAUGCAGGAGACAAAAGCAUAAUAUUGAGGUGGUGGUUAGUCCUCGCCUCACCCAUCCACUAAUUUUGGGAACCAAUUGGCCAGAUUUUCGCUCAUUAAUGAAGGGGUUGUGAGUGGAUGGGUCCUGUGAGAAAGUGAAUCGAUGUGAGAUGGGGCUGGGUAGGCAUGGUCUGGGCCGUUGCAUCAGACUGAUGCUGGGGAAGGGGAGGUGUCAUCCUCCCCCACCCUAAGGGAUUUCCCGGUAGGAGAUUUUCGCGCUAGAGCAGUUGCGACACUCCUUUGACCAAUUUAUUGUGUUUGAUGAUCAACAGCUCCAACUGGGCAUCACACUCCAUAUCCAUACUUUUCAAUUAUAAAAGAUUUGUUAUAUAGAGUGACACAGGACACUCGCACACAAGAAAUUACAACCCAGUUGUUGAUACCAAAGAGCCGUCGGGAAAUGUUAUUUCAGGCGGCUCAUCAUAAUCCGAUGGCAGAUCACUUGGGACAGGGGAAAACAAUAAGCUGUCUCAUGACCCGUUUUUAUUGGCCGAGCAUUCACGGAGAUGUUCGCAGGUGGUGUGCGGCAUGCCAUGGAUGUCAGCUGGUGAAUCCACCGGCUACUCCAAAAGUGCCAUUGCGCCCUCUUCCAUUAAUUAAGUUUCCUAUUGAGCGAAUUGGCAUGGACAUUGUCAGGCCAUUAGAAUAGACCGCACAUGGACAUCGCUUUGUGUUAGUCCUAGUGGAUUACGCAACGCGAUAUACGGAAGCAGUGCCACUGCGCAAAAUCUCAACACGUAGUGUUGCAGAGGCACUCUUCAAAAUUAUCUCAGAAAGAAAUCCUCACUGAUCAGGGCAUGGCUUUUAUGUCACUUACACUAUGCGAUCUGUAUGAAUUAUACAGCGUAGACAAGUGUGUACCAUCCCCAAAUGGACGGCUUGUUCGAAAGAUUUAAUAAAACCUUAAAGAAUAUGAUUUGUAUAUUUGUGCACGAAGAUGUUCAGAACUGGUAUAAGUGUCUCGAACCUCUGUUAUUUGCAUUGCAAGAGGUCCCGCAAGCCAAUGGCUCCACCGCAUGAAGGAUGUCAAUGCCCGGAUCACCCGUUGGUAUCUGGCACUCCAGCCAUUUAAGUUCAAGGUGGUCCACAGGCUGGGCUGUUCCCCCGACCUGAGUCGGGCGGUGGGGGUAUGUGGGGGCGAGGGCAUGGCCGAGCGUUCGUCUGGGGAGAGAGGAAGUGGUAAGGGUUUUCACCUGAGAUGAAUUGCUGCUAAUUGUGAUUUCUAUGUUCACAGUGAGAGGCGGGGAGAUAAAAGGCUGCCCAAAACUCCAGAGAGGGAGAGAGAACCAAGCCUGCAUGUGUGUGUGUGUGUCCGUGCAGCCCGCAGUGUCGAGUGUGACAUUUUCGUUAAUUGUGAAAAUAAAAUACCUUUUUGAGUUGGAUCCGUCACCUCCUGCUUCCUCCUUUCCCUCCUCCAGGAACGAACCUUAUUAUAGUCACCCUUACAGGGAAGACACCUGCUGAAGUGCUCCACAGAUUUCUCUAUUAAACACAUUUCAGUUUGUUUUUU